AGUGAACGCUGGCGGUAGGCCUAACACAUGCAAGUCGAACGGCAGCACAGUAAGAGCUUGCUCUUACGGGUGGCGAGUGGCGGACGGGUGAGGAAUACAUCGGAAUCUACUUUUUCGUGGGGGAUAACGUAGGGAAACUUACGCUAAUACAGCAUACGACCUACGGGUGAAAGCAGGGGAUCUUCGGACCUUGCGCGAUUGAAUGAGCCGAUGUCGGAUUAGCUAGUUGGCGGGGUAAAGGCCCACCAAGGCGACGAUCCGUAGCUGGUCUGAGAGGAUGAUCAGCCACACUGGAACUGAGACACGGUCCAGACUCCUACGGGAGGCAGCAGUGGGGAAUAUUGGACAAAGGGCGCAAGCCUGAUCCAGCCAUACCGCGUGGGUGAAGAAGGCCUUCGGGUUGUAAAGCCCUUUUGUUGGGAAAGAAAAGCAGCAGGUUAAUACCCCGCUGUUCUGACGGUACCCAAAGAAUAAGCACCGGCUAACUUCGUG
Molecule: ribosomal RNA, 492 nt
Filed under: uncultured bacterium
Lineage: Bacteria
Description: partial 16S ribosomal RNA
Rfam family: Bacterial small subunit ribosomal RNA
Source: RNAcentral